Molecule: ribosomal RNA, 459 nt
Filed under: uncultured bacterium
Lineage: Bacteria
Description: partial 16S ribosomal RNA
Rfam family: Bacterial small subunit ribosomal RNA
Source: RNAcentral
CCUACGGGUAGCAGCAGUGAGGAAUAUUGGUCACUGGCCGAGAGGCUGAACCAGCCAAGUCGCGUGAGGGAAGAAUGUCCUAUGGAUUGUAAACCUCUUUUGUCAGGGAGCAAAGUCACCCACGUGUGGGUGAUGGAGAGUACCUGAAGAAAAAGCAUCGUGUAACUCCGUGCAAGCAGCCGGGGUAAUACGGAGGCUGCGGGCGUUAUCCGGAUUUAUUGGGUUUAAUGGGUGCGUAGGUGGAUUAUCAAGGCAGCGGUAAAAUGGAGGAGCUCAACUCCAUCCAGCCGGUGAUACUGAUGAUCUUGUGUGAGCGAGAAGUAGGCGGAAUUCGGGGUGUAGAGGUGAAAUGCAUAGAUAUCACGCAGAACUCCGAUUGCGAAGGCAGCAUACCGGCGCCCGACUGACGCUGAAGCACGAAAGCGUGGGUAUCGAACAGGAGUAGAUACCCCAGUAGUC